GCGGGCAGGGGCGCGCACAGCCCCGCUGGCAGCGGCAGCGCCUUUGGCCGCCGUUUGGGGAUUUGCAAGCGCUGCCCCUGGCCGAGGGCCUCCUUUCCCAAGGGCUCCGCUGCUGCCUGCCCGCGCCUGGGCUGCCUGCGGCGGCGGGAGCAGGCAGAGGCGGCCUGAGGGUCCCAGCCUGCCCCGAGACCCACCGGGACGCUCCGCGCUGCGGCUCCCCGCAGCCCGGCCCCGUCCGGGAGGCCGCGGCCGCGGAGCCCCUCGCCCUGCCGUGCGGGCAGCCCGGGGGAAGGCGCCUCCGCGGCCGCGGAGCCCCUCGCCCUGCCGUGCGGGCAGCCCGGGGGAAGGCGCCGCCGCGGCCGGGCCGAGGCGCGUCCGUCUGCGCUGUGCGGCCCCGCCGCGCUGCGUGUGCCGGUGCCGCCGUCGCGGCAGUAGGAUGUUUUCGCGAUCGUUUUCUCUAUUUUAUAAACAGAGGCCGCACUGAAUGUAAACUCGUGUGGUUAUUCAACAGCCACCGCGUCCUGGGCACGGCUACAACGCCCCCUCGCCCCAUCCCUCCAUCCUUCCCUCGCUCCCUCCCUCCGCGCCGCCCGGGCAGCCCCUGCGCGGGGCGCUGCCCCCGCCCGCGCCCGUCGGGGCCCUGCCUCGCCCUGCCCUUGGGCCGCCGCACAGAGCCGGGAGAGCCGCAGCCCGAGCCCGACGGCCCCGGGACGGCCUGCCCGCGCCCGCCGUGCGCCGCCGGGCGGGCAGGACUCGCCCUGCCGGCAGCAGCGCGGCCUCCGCCGCCGUCGGUGCCGGCCGGGCUUCUCGUCAGGCCCCGGGCUGGCGAGGGGGCGGCGGUCGCAUCCUGGCUCGCUGCUGGCAGCCUGGACCGGGGGACCCCGCGGUGCGCACCCCGCGCCGGCGGACACGCGGGCUUUGGUGCGCGGGGCUGCGUCUCCCGUAUGAAGACUUAACACACACACCGCCCCGCCGGCUGACGGACUGCGUCGCUGCUGUGCAGGGUCGGGCCCGCACCGCGGCACCGCGGCACCCGGGCCGGGCGGAGGGAGGCUGCAUCCGAGCCGGCGAGCAGAGCAGCCCCGGGGUCGCCGUG
RNAcentral lists this long non-coding RNA (1096 nucleotides) under Apteryx haastii (Great spotted kiwi). Its description in RNAcentral is "lncRNA (ENSAHAG00000000361.1)". The record is from RNAcentral. Lineage: Eukaryota; Metazoa; Chordata; Aves; Apterygiformes; Apterygidae.